This 253-nucleotide ribosomal RNA is filed under the name uncultured bacterium. Its description in RNAcentral is "partial 16S ribosomal RNA". It matches the Rfam family "Bacterial small subunit ribosomal RNA", at positions 524 to 776 of the family's 1533-position model. The record is from RNAcentral.
UACAGAGGUCCCAAGCGUUGUUCGGAUUCACUGGGCGUAAAGGGUGCGUAGGUGGUCGGGUAAGUUAGAGGUGAAAGCCCGGGGCUCAACUCCGGAAUUGCCUUUAAGACUGCAUCGCUAGAAUUGUGGAGAGGUAAGUGGAAUUCCGAGUGUAGAGGUGAAAUUCGUAGAUAUUCGGAAGAACACCAGUGGCGAAGGCGACUUACUGGACACAUAUUGACGCUGAGGUGCGAAAGCGUGGGGAGCAAACAGG